RNAcentral lists this ribosomal RNA (305 nucleotides) under uncultured bacterium. RNAcentral's name for it is "bacterial SSU rRNA". It matches the Rfam family "Bacterial small subunit ribosomal RNA", at positions 333 to 652 of the family's 1533-position model. The record is from RNAcentral.
UUGUUCCUACAGGAGGCAGCAGGGGGGGAUAUUGCACAAUGGGGGAAACCCUGAUGCAGCGACGCCGCGUGGACGAAGAAGUAUUUCGGUAUGUAAAGUCCUAUCAGCAAGGAAGAAGAAAUGACGGUACCUGACUAAGAAGCCCCGGCUAACUACGUGCCAGCAGCCGCGGUAAUACGUAGGGGGCAAGUGUUAUCCGGAUUUACUGGGUGUAAAGGGAGCGUAGGUGGCAUGGUAAGCCAGAAGUGAAAACCCAGGGCUCAACUCUGGGGAUUGCUUUUGGAACUAUGAAGCUAGAGUGCUGG